Molecule: ribosomal RNA, 395 nt
Filed under: uncultured bacterium
Lineage: Bacteria
Description: partial 16S ribosomal RNA
Rfam family: Bacterial small subunit ribosomal RNA
Source: RNAcentral
AUACAGAGGGUGCGAGCGUUAAUCGGAUUUACUGGGCGUAAAGCGCGCGUAGGUGGCUAAUUAAGUCAAAUGUGAAAUCCCCGAGCUUAACUUGGGAAUUGCAUUCGAUACUGGUUGGCUAGAGUAUGGGAGAGGAUGGUAGAAUUCCAGGUGUAGCGGUGAAAUGCGUAGAGAUCUGGAGGAAUACCGAUGGCGAAGGCAGCCAUCUGGCCUAAUACUGACACUGAGGUGCGAAAGCAUGGGGAGCAAACAGGAUUAGAUACCCUGGUAGUCCAUGCCGUAAACGAUGUCUACUAGCCGUUGGGGGAUUUGAUCCUUUAGUGGCGCAGCUAACGCGAUAAGUAGACCGCCUGGGGAGUACGGUCGCAAGGCUAAAACUCAAAUGAAUUGACGGG